GCUAAUGCCGGAUAACAUGUUGAACCGCAUGGUUCUACAGUGAAAGACGGUCUUGCUGUCACUUAUAGAUGGACCCGCGCCGUAUUAGCUAGUUGGUGGGGUAACGGCCUACCAAGGCGACGAUACGUAGCCGACCUGAGAGGGUGAUCGGCCACACUGGAACUGAGACACGGUCCAGACUCCUACGGGAGGCAGCAGUAGGGAAUCUUCCGCAAUGGGCGAAAGCCUGACGGAGCAACGCCGCGUGAGUGAUGAAGGUCUUCGGAUCGUAAAGCUCUGUUGUUAGGGAAGAACAAAUGUGUAAGUAACUGUGCACAUCUUGACGGUACCUAACCAGAAAGCCACGGCUAACUACGUGCCAGCAGCCGCGGUAAUACGUAGGUGGCAAGCGUUAUCCGGAAUUAUUGGGCGUAAAGCGCGCGUAGGCGGUUUUUUAAGUCUGAUGUGAAAGCCCACGGCUCAACCGUGGAGGGUCAUUGGAAACUGGAAAACUUGAGUGCAGAAGAGGAAAGUGGAAUUCCAUGUGUAGCGGUGAAAUGCGCAGAGAUAUGGAGGAACACCAGUGGCGAAGGCGGCUUUCUGGUCUGCAACUGACGCUGAUGUGCGAAAGCGUGGGGAUCAAACAGGAUUAGAUACCCUGGUAGUCCACGCCGUAAACGAUGAGUGCUAAGUGUUAGGGGGUUUCCGCCCCUUAGUGCUGCAGCUAACGCAUUAAGCACUCCGCCUGGGGAGUACGGUCGCAAGACUGAAACUCAAAGGAAUUGACGGGGACCCGCACAAGCGGUGGAGCAUGUGGUUUAAUUCGAAGCAACGCGAAGAACCUUACCAAAUCUUGACAUCCUUUGACCGCUCUAGAGAUAGAGUUUUCCUCUUCGGAGGACAAAGUGACAGGUGGUGCAUGGUUGUCGUCAGCUCGUGUCGUGAGAUGUUGGGUUAAGUCCCGCAACGAGCGCAACCCUUGAACUUAGUUGCCAUCAUUCAGUUGGGCACUCUAAGUUGACUGCCGGUGACAAACCGGAGGAAGGUGGGGAUGACGUCAAAUCAUCAUGCCCCUUAUGAUUUGGGCUACACACGUGCUACAAUGGACAAUACAAAGGGCAGCGAAACCGCGAGGUCAAGCAAAUCCCAUAAAGUUGUUCUCAGUUCGGAUUGUAGUCUGCAACUCGACUACAUGAAGCUGGAAUCGCUAGUAAUCGUAGAUCAGCAUGCUACGGUGAAUACGUUCCCGGGUCUUGUACACACCGCCCGUCACACCACGAGAGUUUGUAACACCCG
RNAcentral lists this ribosomal RNA (1275 nucleotides) under Staphylococcus pseudintermedius. RNAcentral's name for it is "bacterial SSU rRNA". It matches the Rfam family "Bacterial small subunit ribosomal RNA", at positions 162 to 1423 of the family's 1533-position model. Lineage: Bacteria; Bacillati; Bacillota; Bacilli; Caryophanales; Staphylococcaceae. The record is from RNAcentral.